RNAcentral lists this transfer RNA (73 nucleotides) under Camelus bactrianus (Bactrian camel). It matches the Rfam family "tRNA". From Rfam's summary of the family: Transfer RNA (tRNA) molecules are approximately 80 nucleotides in length. Their secondary structure includes four short double-helical elements and three loops (D, anti-codon, and T loops). Lineage: Eukaryota; Metazoa; Chordata; Mammalia; Artiodactyla; Camelidae. RNAcentral also lists the same sequence under 2 other names. The record is from Rfam by way of RNAcentral.
GAGGGUAUAGCUCAAGAGGUAGAGCAUAUGCUUAGCAUGCACAAGGUCCUGGGUUCAAUCCCCAGUACCUCCU